GGCGCAUCCGGGGUCCGUAGGCCUCGCCGAGCCUCCCUUUCCUCACCACUGCGUACUAGGGCCCGAAGCCUAGCGAACUCCACUUGCCCCGGCUUCCUCCGACUCCCAGCCCGGAUAGGCCCCGUUGAAGUCCGGGCCUCCACCCUGAGCUCUCUGUUCCUGUAGCACGGCUUCGGCCCUCCAGUCGCUACCGCCACCUCGCCUGUCUGUACCCCACAAGGCGCACCUUUGAAUAGGUAAUCGUACUCGUCGUCCCGGGUCCCCAUUGUCCUGGCGCUUCCGGCGGGAUCGGCGACUCCGCAGCCCCACCACAAACACCCGUCGGGGGCGGAACCGGCGCCGCGUAGAGCGGCGGUCUAAAGGCCAGUCAACGGUGAAAGCGGUAGUGACAGGCACCUGGACAAGCCAAUCAGGCUGAGAAACCGAGCUCGGGGGGUAGGAGCCUCCUGGGAUCCACCCUUCUAGCCCUCGGUCUCCCGGAGAAAGGCGGAAGGAAUGCGGACCUUUUUGAAAUGACAGAUUCAGCAGCCUAUCAAAAGCAGAUGGGGGAAGGCGGGACGGAACACUUGAACAAUGAAGUGGAUUGACAGAGUGCGUAACCAAUGAGAGACUGAACUCAGACUGGGCCUUCCAGCGAACCUGUAGGGGAAGGGAAAUUGAGCUACCUCUAGGUGACGUUACGGACUUUAACGUCCUGAUGACAUCAUAGAUCAGUGGGUCUCCUCCGACCUCUUAUUCUAGCCCCAUAAAUGACCAUUUCCGGGCGUAUGUUCGUUGAUUGGGGGUGCCUUCUCUGGGUUGCAGUUCCCCAGUUCUUUGUUUAAAUACAAAGCUUAUGUCAGUACCUCCAAAACAAAUGGGGAUCCUAGGCUUUUUUAUUUGUUCCUCUUCUCAAAAAGUUCUCUUGUUUUCUGCUUUCACCAUUACUCAUAUUUUUUCUUUUCUUUUUUUAAGACAGGUUUUUCACUAUGAAACCCUAGCUAGACUGGAAUUGGUGAUAUGGAUCAGACUAUACCUGUCUGAUUUUCUUUUUUCUUUAUUGUUUUUUUUUUUUUUUUUUUUUUUUUUUUUUGUGACAGGGUCGCACCAUGUAGCCCUGGCCAUCUGGAACUUGCCCUGUAUAGACCAGGCUGGCCUUGAACACAGAGAGCUGCCUGUCUCUGCCUCCCAAGUGCUGGGAUUAGAGGCAUUGGCCACCACCACCCAGCUUGAUUUUGUUUGUUUGCUUGUUUGUUUGUUUGUUUGUUUGUUUGUUGAGACGAGGCCUCAAGUUACCCUGACUAGCUUCAUAUUGAAGAGGGAGUAGAGAUAGAGAAAGGGAGAGAGAGUGGCAAGGAGGGGGGUGGAGAGAGAAGAGGAGAGGCCGGCCAGGGAGAAGGGGCAGAGUGUAGGAUAAGAGAGGAGGGGGGCAAACAGCCCCUUUUCUAGUGAGUUAGUCAUACCUAGCUAUUGCCAGGUAACUGGGAGCCUAGAAGGAAUGAUAACAAUACAUAUUUACUUUGAACUAACUUCUUUUUUUCUUGUUCUGUUUUAUUUGGAGCACAGGGUCUCCCUGCCUAGAACCUGAUAUUUAACACUGAGAGAUCCACCUGGCUCUGCGCCGCUAAACACGCCACCUCGUGCUAGCCAACUUUGAACUUAUGAUUCUCUUGUACACUGGUAACUUGGAAGUUACCUCUCGGGGGCUGGAGAGAUGGCUCAGUGGUUAAGAGACUGACUGCUCUUCCAGAGGUCCUGAGUUCAAUUCCAAGCACAUGGUGGCUCACAACCAUCUGUAAUGGGAUCUGAUGCCCUCUUCUGGUUUGUCUGAAGACAGAUACAGUGUACUCGUCACAUAUAUAAAAUAAAUAAAUAAAAUCUUUUUUUAAAAAUUUA
This 1875-nucleotide long non-coding RNA is filed under the name Mus musculus (house mouse). RNAcentral describes it as "RAB11B, member RAS oncogene family, opposite strand 1". The record is from RNAcentral. Lineage: Eukaryota; Metazoa; Chordata; Mammalia; Rodentia; Muridae.